AGAAUUCCUUCAUGGUGGCGGUUCCAAUGCUAAAAGAAAUAUGGUUCUUAUAACAAUACAACUAUAAGGUACAUUUUUCUAUAAACUUUACUCAUCAAAUCGUUUAACCAUGACUUUAACACAGAUAUUGUCAUCGUCGGGGAAGUUGAGACCGUGCUCAAAGAAUUCCUUCAUGGUGACGGUUCCAAUGGUAAAAGAAAUAUGGUUCUUAUAACAAUACAACUAUAAGGUACAUUAUUCUAUAAACUUUACAUGGUGGCGGUUAAAAUGGUAAAAGAAAUAUGGUUCUUAUAACAAUACAACUAUAAGGUACAUUUUUCUAUAAACUUUACUCAUCAAAUCGUUUAACCAUGACUUUAACACAGAUAUUGUCAUCGUCGGGGAAGUUGAGACCGUGCUCAAAGAAUUCCUUCAUGGAGACGGUUCCAAUGGUAAAAGGAAUAUGGUUCUUGUAACUAUACAACUAUAAGGUACAUUUUUCUAUAAACCUUAGUCAUCAAACCGUUUAACCAUGACUUUGACACAGAUAUUGUCAUCGUCGGGGAAGUUCAGGCCGUGCUCAAAGAAUUCCUUCAUGGAGACCUUUCCAAUGGUAAAAGAAAUAUGGUUCUUAUAACAAUUCAACUAUAAGGUACAUUAUUCUAUAAACCUUACUCAUCAAACCGUUUAACCAUGAC
Molecule: long non-coding RNA, 677 nt
Organism: Spodoptera frugiperda (fall armyworm)
Lineage: Eukaryota; Metazoa; Arthropoda; Insecta; Lepidoptera; Noctuidae
Exons: 2
Source: RefSeq, a predicted model, not a curated record